AAUUUCCCGGGAAAUUUUCCCGCUUAACGCUCAAAAUUCCGGGAGAUACUUCCAGCCUAGGGACCGGGAGAGGCCGAGGGUAUUCCCGGAGUAGGGGUGAAAUCCUAUAAUCCCGGGAGGACCACUUGUGGCGAAGGCGCUCGGCUGGAACGGGUCCGACGGUGAGGGACGAAGGCCAGGGGAGCAAACCGGAUUAGAUACCCGGGUAGUCCUGGCUGUAAACGAUGCGGACUAGGUGUCGGACAAGCUAUGAGCUUGUCCGGUGCCGGAGGGAAACCGUUAAGUCCGCCGCCUGGGAGUACGCCGCAGAAUUGCGGAU
This 319-nucleotide ribosomal RNA is filed under the name uncultured euryarchaeote. Its description in RNAcentral is "bacterial SSU rRNA". It matches the Rfam family "Archaeal small subunit ribosomal RNA", at positions 536 to 853 of the family's 1478-position model. Lineage: Archaea; Methanobacteriati; Methanobacteriota. The record is from RNAcentral.